Molecule: ribosomal RNA, 497 nt
Filed under: uncultured bacterium
Lineage: Bacteria
Description: partial 16S ribosomal RNA
Rfam family: Bacterial small subunit ribosomal RNA
Source: RNAcentral
GACGAACGCUGGCGGCGUGCCUAAUACAUGCAAGUCGAGCGAACAGACGAGGAGCUUGUUCCUCUGACGUUAGCGGCGGACGUGUGAGUAACACGUGGAUACCCUACCUAUAAGUCUGGGAUAACUACGGGAAACCGGCGCUAAUACCGUAUAAUAUCUUGAACCGUAUUGUUCAAUAGUGAAAGUCGGUUUUGCUGUCACUUAUAGAUGGUUCCGCGCCGCAUUAGCUAGUUGGUAAGGUAACGGCUUACCAAGGCAACGAUGCGUAGCCGACCUGAGAGAGUGAUCGGCCACAUUGGAACGUGGACACGGUCAUGGCUCCUGCGAGAGGGAGCAGAAGGGGAUCGGCCGCAAUAGGCGGAAGCCUUACGCAGCAACGGCGCGUGAGUGAUGAAGGUCUUCGGAUCGUAAAACUCUGUUAUGAGGGAAGAACAAAUGUGUAAGUAACUAUGCACGUCUUGACGGUACCUAGUCAGAAAGCCACGGCUAACUACGUG